RNAcentral lists this ribosomal RNA (260 nucleotides) under uncultured prokaryote. RNAcentral's name for it is "partial 16S ribosomal RNA". It matches the Rfam family "Bacterial small subunit ribosomal RNA", at positions 524 to 782 of the family's 1533-position model. The record is from RNAcentral.
UACGGAGGAUCCGAGCGUUAUCCGGAAUUAUUGGGUUUAAAGGGUGUGUAGGCGGCCAUUUAAGUCAGCGGUGAAAUUUUGCAGCUUAACUGUAACAGUGCCGUUGAUACUGUUUGGCUAGGAUUUGGUUGUAGUGUGCGGAAUGUGUGGUGUAGCGGUGAAAUGCUUAGAUAUCACACAGAACACCGAUUGCGAAGGCAGCACACUAAGUCAUUAUUGACGCUGAGGCACGAAAGUGUGGGGAGUCAAACAGGAUUAGA